CUGCUCACUUCAGCAGCACAUAUACUAAAAUUGGAAUGAUACAGAGAAGAUUAACAUGGCCCCUGUGCAAGGAUGACACACAAACUGGUAAUUUGACCUCAGCUAAC
Small nuclear RNA from Hemicordylus capensis (graceful crag lizard), 107 nucleotides. NCBI's taxonomy places the organism in Eukaryota, Metazoa, Chordata, Lepidosauria, Squamata, Cordylidae. The record is from RefSeq and is a predicted model, not a curated record.